CCUACGGGAGGCAGCAGUGAGGAAUAUUGGUCAAUGGACGAGAGUCUGAACCAGCCAAGUAGCGUGAAGGAUGACUGCCCUAUGGGUUGUAAACUUCUUUUAUAAAGGAAUAAAACGCGGCACGUGUGCCUUUUUGCAUGUACUUUAUGAAUAAGGAUCGGCUAACUCCGUGCCAGCAGCCGCGGUAAUACGGAGGAUCCGAGCGUUAUCCGGAUUUAUUGGGUUUAAAGGGGGCGUAGAUGGGUUGUUAAGUCAGGUGUGAAAGUUUGCGGCUCAACCGUAAAAUUGCAAUUGAUACUGGCAGACUUGAGUUCAGGUGAGGUAGGCGGAAUGCGUGGUGUAGCGGUGAAAUGCUUAGAUAUCACGAAGAACCCCGAUUGCGAAGGCAGCUUACUAAACUGUGACUGACAUUGAUGCACGAAAGUGUGGGUAUCAAACAGGAUUAGAUACCCCAGUAGUC
Molecule: ribosomal RNA, 460 nt
Filed under: uncultured bacterium
Lineage: Bacteria
Description: partial 16S ribosomal RNA
Rfam family: Bacterial small subunit ribosomal RNA
Source: RNAcentral